GGGGUAAUGGCCUACCAAGUCUACGAUCUUUAGCUGGUUUUAGAGGAUGAUCAGCAACACUGGGACUGAGACACGGCCCAGACUCCUACGGGAGGCAGCAGUGGGGAAUCUUAGACAAUGGGCGCAAGCCUGAUCUAGCCAUGCCGCGUGAGUGAAGAAGGCCUUAGGGUCGUAAAACUCUUUCGCCAGAGAUGAUAAUGACAGUAUCUGGUAAAGAAACCCCGGCUAACUCCGUGCCAGCAGCCGCUGUAAUACGGAGGGGGUUAGCGUUGUUCGGAAUUACUGGGCGUAAAGCGCACGUAGGCGGACUGGAAAGUUGGGGGUGAAAUCCCGGGGCUCAACCUCGGAACUGCCUCCAAAACUAUCAGUCUAGGGUUCGAGAGAGGUGAGUGGAAUUCCAAGUGUAGAGGUGAAAUUCGUAGAUAUUUGGAGGAACACCAGUGGCGAAGGCGGCUCACUGGCUCGAUACUGACGCUGAGGUGCGAAAGUGUGGGGAGCAAACAGGAUUAGAUACCCUGGUAGUCCACACCGUAAACGAUGAAUGCCAGUCGUCGGCAAGUAUACUUGUCGGUGACACACCUAACGGAUUAAGCAUUCCGCCUGGGGAGUACGGUCGCAAGAUUAAAACUCAAAGGAAUUGACGGGGGCCCGCACAAGCGGUGGAGCAUGUGGUUUAAUUCGAAGC
RNAcentral lists this ribosomal RNA (685 nucleotides) under uncultured marine bacterium. RNAcentral describes it as "bacterial SSU rRNA". It matches the Rfam family "Bacterial small subunit ribosomal RNA", at positions 254 to 957 of the family's 1533-position model. The record is from RNAcentral.